This 57-nucleotide transfer RNA is filed under the name Bos taurus (domestic cattle). It matches the Rfam family "tRNA", at positions 8 to 63 of the family's 71-position model. Rfam says of the family: Transfer RNA (tRNA) molecules are approximately 80 nucleotides in length. Their secondary structure includes four short double-helical elements and three loops (D, anti-codon, and T loops). Further hydrogen bonds mediate the characteristic L-shaped molecular structure. tRNAs have two regions of fundamental functional importance: the anti-codon, which is responsible for specific mRNA codon recognition, and the 3' end, to which the tRNAs corresponding amino acid is attached (by aminoacyl-tRNA synthetases). tRNAs cope with the degeneracy of the genetic code in two manners: having more than one tRNA (with a specific anti-codon) for a particular amino acid; and 'wobble' base-pairing, i.e. permitting non-standard base-pairing at the 3rd anti-codon position. RNAcentral also lists the same sequence under 5 other names. Lineage: Eukaryota; Metazoa; Chordata; Mammalia; Artiodactyla; Bovidae. The record is from Rfam by way of RNAcentral.
UAGCUCAGUCGGUAAAGAAUCUGCCUGCAAUGCAGGAGACUCAGGUUCGAUUCCUGG